ACAUACGGGGAGCUCGUGAUGCCGCGUGGACGGCGGGGCGGGCUGAGAGGGGGCGCCUUUCCGCCUCGACCCGCGGAACCUGAUAUGGGUAAUGCCAACGAAGGGAGUU
This 109-nucleotide non-coding RNA is filed under the name human gut metagenome. The record is from RNAcentral.